Long non-coding RNA from Papaver somniferum (opium poppy), 1086 nucleotides. RefSeq lists it as uncharacterized. Lineage: Eukaryota; Viridiplantae; Streptophyta; Magnoliopsida; Ranunculales; Papaveraceae. The record is from RefSeq and is a predicted model, not a curated record. The transcript has 4 exons.
UGGUCGGCUGUGUAUUUUCUUCUCUGGAAUUGCAGACAUAAACAAAUGAACCGGGUUGAUUGCCCCUAGGGUUUUUUUCCUUUCUCAAAUGCCCUUGCAUGGUUUGUGGUUUGUGCGACAAGAACACAUCCAAGUUCUCUCCUUCCCUUUAUUUUUGGUAAAUACAACAUUAUUUCCAAACAAUUCGGUAUAAUUUCCUUAUUUUCUAUUUCAAGAUAUUCUUCGGCUCAACCUUAUCUAUAAAACGUGAUACCAAAACCCAAAUCUCAUUCGGCGCCGCUACUCUCUUCAAGGUCUUAUAAAUGCUUAAACUGAUGUUUUUGCAGGGAAAGUGAACGAUGCUCCUUCUCUCUUUCGAAGGAAGACAACUCGGGUUUUUUUAUCUUGCUUAAAAAUCUUUGUUCAAGAUAAAAAUUUCUUGAGCUUCGCUUAUAGAAUUAUAAUAUAAAAUAUAAAAACAUUUACGAAUUUGUCAAAAAAUGAUACGCCUACCAAAAAUAAUAAAAAUCUUGAUAUUUUUAAGUCUUUGAGGAAUAUUGAUUUCAAGAAUAGUCUUUUUGAAGCUCGAGUCUCUAUAAAAGGCGUUAGUCAAAGUAAACCCAUUAUUAUGGGUUUGUAAUGUUUUAUCUUUGGUUGUCGUUAGUUUUGCAGAGAAAGUGAACGAUGCUCCUUCCCUAUUUCGAAGGAAGACAGCUCAGUUUUGCAGAGAAAGUGAGCGAUGCUCCUUCCCUAUUUCGAAGGAAGACAGCUCAGGUGCGAUUUUGGCAGGAAAAUAAAAAUAAAAUAACUAAAUAACAAUUCUCAGUAGGUGUUUGCACAUAUGAAAGAUUAUCGUAGGUGCAUAAAUUAUUAAAAGUAAUUCAAGAAAGGAUUCCGGUUAUUAAAGAUAAAUCCUAACAUGCCACACACAUGUAUUGGUCUAGGACUCAUUCCAAAUCAUCCCGCCCGCUAAUGAUAACUUGGAAUUAAUUCACAUCAUAUGAGGAUGUGUUUUCCAUGUGGGCCAUUUCUUGGGCCGAAUUUCUAAACACUGAUCAACUCUAUGGAGGAGGUUUUAACCAUCUUUUUUUUUAGCCUGAACCUUGA